This is a non-coding RNA of Cordylochernes scorpioides, 72 nucleotides long. NCBI's taxonomy places the organism in Eukaryota, Metazoa, Arthropoda, Arachnida, Pseudoscorpiones, Chernetidae. The record is from the annotation of a GenBank genome assembly.
UUCUUGGUAGUAUAGUGGUUAGUAUUCCCGCCUGUCACGCAGGUGACCGGGGUUCGAUUCCCCACCAGGGAA